GACGAACGCUGGCGGCGUGCUUAACACAUGCAAGUCGAACGGAAAGGCCCUGCUUUUGUGGGGUGCUCGAGUGGCGAACGGGUGAGUAACACGUGAGUAACCUGCCCUUGACUUUGGGAUAACUUCAGGAAACUGGGGCUAAUACCGGAUAGGAGCUCCUGCUGCAUGGUGGGGGUUGGAAUGGUUCGGCGGUUGGGGAUGGACUCGCGGCUUAUCAGCUUGUUGGUGGGGUAGUGGCUUACCAAGGCUUUGACGGGUAGCCGGCCUGAGAGGGUGACCGGCCACAUUGGGACUGAGAUACGGCCCAGACUCCUACGGGAGGCAGCAGUGGGGAAUAUUGCACAAUGGGCGGAAGCCUGAUGCAGCGACGCCGCUUGCGGGAUGACGGCCUUCGGGUUGUAAACCGCUUUCGCCUGUGACGAAGCGUGAGUGACGGUAAUGGGUAAAGAAGCACCGGCUAACUACGUG
RNAcentral lists this ribosomal RNA (468 nucleotides) under uncultured bacterium. RNAcentral's name for it is "partial 16S ribosomal RNA". It matches the Rfam family "Bacterial small subunit ribosomal RNA", at positions 28 to 507 of the family's 1533-position model. The record is from RNAcentral.